UUGAAACCGAAGCUUAGAUACCCCUCAACUCCCAAUACAACCCUCUCCCCAGUUUUGACCCUGGUUUUGUGCCUAGGUGGCGCCACCUCAACCAGGCAAAUCGACAUGGGCCCACCUGUCAUGCCCUUCCCCGUCUGUUACCUCCCUCACUCGCCAGACCAGAUUGGACGUGGCUAACUAUCGGCGGCGCCAUCCACCACCGCAGCAAGUCGCCGGCGGAUCCCAGCUCGCUGCUCUGCGGCCCAUCGAGGAGAGCGAUAAGACCCUCGGCUCAACCCUCGCCCUCGCCGAACCGGCGAGGUAAGCCGCAUCGGCCUCCUCCUCUGCCGGCGGCGCUACCCGGCUGACCACGACGCAUUUCGCACACGCGAUGGGCGCAAGUACGGCCGCCGACGCCUCCGCAGGGCCGUGCUCGAUGUACCGCCGGCGGCAGCCUUCUCGGGGUCGGGGGGAUCCCAGCCUUUCUCCGGAAAUGUCUCCCCCGUCGGGAUCGAGUUCAUACCCUCAGCCAGCUCCGUCCACCUCUCGCCCGGACCACGGCGGCCUCCACUGCAGUCUUCCACGCUGAUGAUUUUGGGCAGAGAUUCAGACAGGGGACCAAACUGGACCGCCCCACUGGCUUGCAUACCAGGCUCGGAUUGUCGCGACUCUCGAGCAUCGGGUGCUCAAUGUCAAGUCUGGACACUGCCGAGCAAAUAGCGCGUUGCAAAGUACUUCAAACAGCUCCGAGCAAGGAUUAGUCUCAUGACAAUGCUGGAUGGCGCACAAGGAGGGGCAUGCCAGCGACGUGGGAGAACCCGGUGUCCGGCAGGAGCAUCGAUGUCUCUGAUGCUGCUUGGGGUAACUCCUGUCCGGCAGUUGCAGCCGACUUCCUGUCAGAAACUUCGCCCAUUGCUGUUGACCAGCACGUAGGUUUCGACAGAUGUGCUCCCAGGUUGUGGCAUAAUGUUGCCCAGUUUCCAUGUGUCGGAUUACCUGUGCUUUGCAAGUACCGGGCUGUGGUAACAAGGGCAAGGGGUAAACCAUCACACUUCUUCAGUGCCUCCGAGCCAAGCUGAUCCUCUUUAUCAACUGGUGGAUUGUCAUCUUGGAAAGCUUCCUUGAAGAAUAGCAGUCUUGAGUGUUCAUCGGCAAGAGUUUUCAUUGCGUACACAUGAUCAUGAGCUGCUGAGCUGCUGCAGGUAUUUGCUACUGAAUGGAUGGCUGUUGUCACCAGAACUCUGCCGCUCAACCCCACAAACGCAUUUUUUAUGUCAUGCCAAAAUUCUGUCCGCAUGUCAUCGAUUACAAUGAAGAACCUACCAGGAGAAGUGCAUGAUCAGACAUGGAGAGAUACCAAGUGGAAAUUAAAACAGAGUAAAUUUCAUUUUGUGUACCCACAAAGAUGACAAUAGUGAAUCUAUCUAGAAGAAUUGCUGGAUUGUGCGAACUAUGAAAGAUGCAGGCUGCUGUAGAUCGAGAUUGAAUUAUCAAACAGGUACAAUCUGAGAAUUGAGCAGAGCUUGCUGAGGUUGCCUCCGCCAUUUGUGGGGAUGUCAAGCUGGUGGAGUAUCUCCUUGAGAACAUUUGUUGGGGCCCCUUGCUCCGCUGCAGAGACCCAAGCCCGAGCUUCGUAUUGGUUCUCAAUUGUGUUGUACACACACCUGGCAAGGAGAGUCUUGCCUAUACCAUCGAAACCAACAAUGGAAAUCACCUUGAGCUGCUGUUGCUGCUGCUGGAUCAGCUCGAGAAGCUCAUCCCGAGGCGCGUCCAUGCCCACAGGU
This is a long non-coding RNA of Triticum aestivum (bread wheat), 1763 nucleotides long. RefSeq lists it as uncharacterized. The record is from RefSeq and is a predicted model, not a curated record. The transcript has 5 exons. NCBI's taxonomy places the organism in Eukaryota, Viridiplantae, Streptophyta, Magnoliopsida, Poales, Poaceae.